Molecule: ribosomal RNA, 431 nt
Filed under: uncultured bacterium
Lineage: Bacteria
Description: partial 16S ribosomal RNA
Rfam family: Bacterial small subunit ribosomal RNA
Source: RNAcentral
AACGAACGCUGGCGGCAGGCUUAACACAUGCAAGUCGAGCGCCCCGCCAGGGGAGCGGCUGACGGGUGAGUAGCGCGUGGGAACGUACCUUUUGGUUCGGAACAACUCCGGGAAACUGGAGCUACUACCGGAUAAGCCCUCACGGGGAAAGAUUUAUCGCCGAAAGCUCGGACCGCGUCUGAUUAGCUAGUUGGUUAGGUAACGGCUCACCAAGGCGACGGUCAGUAGCUGGUCUGAGAGGAUGAUCAGCCACACUGGGACUGAGACACGGCCCAGACUCCUACGGGAGGCAGCAGUGGGGAAUAUUGGACAAUGGGGGCAAGGCUGAUCCAGCCAUGCCGGGUGAGUGAUGAAGGCAUGAGGGUUGUAAAGCUCUUUUGUCCGGGAAGAUAAUGACUGUACCGGAAGAAUAAGCCCCGGCUAACUUCGUG